GUCACCAGCACCACUGGACUGUGUCUCAGCACUCAAGGGAGCGAUCCCGAUGUCUUUCUGAGCGUGCUUUGUCCGCCGGCCAGGCCUGAAGAGAACUGGGUCUUGGAGGAGUCUGAGCCACUCACUUAAAUCCGUGUCAUUUCUUUUCAGGUUUUGAGGACUUGAGGAAGUGGGACAAGCACCUUUCUAUUGUCUUCACUUGGAUCGAAAGCAAAACAGUCUCCCAGUCCGCAGCAGAUCAAGUAGUCUGGACAUAACCCGACUGAUAACUUGUGAUUUCACUUAGUUUUCUGCAUACUCUUCAUCACAAUGCAAGAAAUGAUCUCGAGUCCAGAAGGCUUUAUUUAUGAACCUUUGAAAAGGAUCUUCCAGUAUGAUGGACCUUCUAGGAGCGAUGAUGGCUUAUAUCCUCACGAUCCAAGACGGCACCUGGAGUUCCAGACCCUGUAUCUGAAUUCUAAACUGGGAAGAGGAAGAAUUGGGAGGAGAGCAAAAGGGAACACUUUCCAGGUUAAGGAUCCAGAGUUGUUACUGCGGUGGCUUGGAUCGCUGCUGUGUCGAGGGUUUGGUCCCUGGCCUGGGAACUUCCACAGCUCAAUAUGCCUUCAACUCAAACUCCUCCAGCUCCUAUCCAAUGAAAAACCAGUGGUGCAAGUGUGAUCUACUGAACAAAGUGAUGACAGAUGCUAAAUGAUCCAACACCUGAUUACUUGCUAAGCUUGGAAGGUAUUCUCACAUGAUCUAGAAUUAUUUUCUACACCAUGGCCUGAAAUGAAAAUGGUGCUUCUGAAAGACUUGAGGUAGGCAGGAAAUGUAUUUAAGCUGAUUCUCUAAUAGCUUGAACACACUAAUGAGCUGUGUUUUACUGCAAUAAUGUCACCAGGGAGAAUAACAAUUGAGGAAAUGAUACACAUUGAACAAUAAUAGUGAUUAUUUUCCAAGCAUUUACUUUAUGACAGGUUCUUUAUCAUAACGGUGCCAUGAGAUAGGUAUUAUCUCACUUUUACUGAUAAGAAAACAGAAGCUGACGGAAGUUAAAUUAAGUCCCCUAAACAGUUAUGUGGGUCUGGGAGACUUCAGAGGCCCUGCUCCUUCCCCAACUUCCAGAGUUAGAGGAAGGGGGAGUGUAAGCGAGGCUGGGCUUACCUUUCUUUGGAAAAAGGGGGCUGACAGAGGGCAGCUGCCUGUCCCGUGUGACUUUCCAGAGGAGAAUGCCUUGUCACAGGCCAUCCCACAGCUUGUAGAUUCUCUCCCUAGACCACCCUGAAAAGCAGUCUAUGUGCUUUGAAGGUAUCAUUUUAUUUAUGGAAUGAUGAGGUUAUGGAUCAAGGGGAAAAAACAUAAAGACUGGUUUCAUUUAGCAUUUAUUCAAGAAAAAUACACGCCUUUAUAAGGAAAGGAAUGGAGACUUGUCUUCCAACUCCAGCAACAAGCGUCAUUUCCUGGGGAAUUAGUGAGAACAUCUUGUCAUCCCAGAGGCCCCCCACCUUGCCAAGGCUCAACCCUGGACCUUUUCUGAGGAAAACACAUGAAUCACCAAGAAUGGAGAGGUGGGUGGAGGACUGUCCAGCCAGUGGGGGGAGGACACCUGCACAGAACCCAAGCAGAAAGGAGCUAAAAUCAAGGCAGGGGAAUGAGGUCUCAAGAGCUGGUCUACUCACCACUCAGCCUUCACCUAGUUCUUACCGUCUUUUGAUUUUAUUAGAUUUUUUUUGGCAGUAAUUUAUCAGUCUCUUCUGGCUCUCUUGCUUCUCCCUUUUUAAGAAACUCUGCAUCCUGAGGGUCUUUAUGGCAUCAUGGGAGUGAUGCUGUCCUGUAGCCCCUCCUCUGGUGCUCACUGCAUGCCACCCAUGAGUGCAAUGACACCAUAAUGAAGAUUUGAAUGCUCUGGUGGCAAUGAUGUCACUUUGAGGCCCCUGAAGGCAGUUUCUUCCAGCUCCUUUCUCGUUCCUGGGCAUUAUUGGGUUCAGACCUAAUCCCCAGGGCCCAGGGAAGGUGAAGGCAGUGCUGCUAGCCAGAUAGCAGGGGUGCUGAGGCUUAGUGUGAGAGCACAGACCCAUCUUCUCAUAGCUUUGUGUCUCCUUUGCCUUUAGAGACUCUACAGAGCUUUGGGUCAGAGCUGCCUCUCAGACUGCAGGCUGAAGGCUUAGGAAAGGCUUGGAAUCCAGGUUGCUCCUCAGGUAUGAGAAUCACCUGCUUGUCAUAAAGGACUCCCCUCCCCCAACCUUCCAUUGGGAGGAGGUAUGGAAAAAGCGGAGCUGACAGAGGGCAGCUGCCUGUCCCGUGUGACUUUCCAGAGGAGAAUGCCUUGUCACAGGCCAUCCCACAGCUUGUAGAUUCUCUCCCCAGACCACCCACAUUGUCCUAGGAGGAUGAGUUUUCUAAGGUAUGUAGAAGUUAUCAAAAGGGUGGAGAAGUAAGAAGCAAGACAGACUUUGCCAGGAAGGAAAAAGUGGAGAGAUUUUGAGUGCAGAGGCAAACCCCAGCUCUCAUAGAGAAGAUUAAGGGAGAAUAGCCUAGAAGCGGAAUGAGGAAAUGUUCACAUUUUUAUCUGGUUCUACCCAUGCUUUCUAGAGUAGGUGAUGGUGUUGCCCACCAGUGAGCAGCUUUCCGAGAGCUGUGUUUCUGUACCCCAACCCCACCCCUAACUUGGUCAGCCAGCAGCCUCAUCUCUCCCUUGACAUGUGGACAGUCCAUCUACAAUGUGGACAGGGACCUUCAUCUCUGACUUCUUUCCACAGUCUGUGCAGCACCCCACCCCCCACCCCCGUGUGAUGCCGCACCACUAGCUCUCAGUGCAAGUCUGACCGGUCACUUAACAUGAGGGAGCUCAGGGCACUUUGCAGAAGGAGGCUUCUCCUAUGGAAUGCCUGGGGCCUGAGUCCAGGAAUGGAGCAGCUCCAGUUCCCCUGGUGGUGAGCACGUAGGUCAGUGUGGGAUAGCACAUCACCGGCAGAGGAAAGAAGUUGGCUAUGGAAAUGAGGUUCAAUGGAGAAUCAGAGUCACAGAUGGCUGAGAAAAGGCUUCGGCCUGCUGGGGAACUGCAGGUGGGGGUCAGCACGGGUGGCAGAAAGGAGAAAGUUGUUCCGAUCUAGUCCUCCUGAGUGCCAUGGUACUGUUACCAAAUCUGAACAUCCCCAGAGUCCCCGACUGUGGAGGUAACUUUGGCUUGGGUGACAGUGGUAUUUGGCUUGGCCCCCCACCCACUCACCUUUUCCUCCUUGCCUCCUUUCGCAGAAGGUCUAGAAAGCUCAUUGGAUGCUUGGUGUCGACCAUUCAGGCAAAUCUAUGAUCAACAAGACUCUGUUGCAGCCAUUUCAGUUUGUCCCAGUGGACGCUAGGGCCUUUUGAGAUCCUGGAGUUGAGUCAUUCACUGAGAAAGGCUUCCCUGGGCUGGGGCUGGAUGUCAUUUGAGAUCCCAGUAUGUGUAAUAUUCAGGUGUCUUUGUAGGUUCCCCAACAGGCCCUGCCCUGAGCUGCCUUCCCCCUGAGCGAUCUGUGACUAUCAUCUUUCUUACCUCCUUCUCUGCUCCUCCAGGAAAUCAGGGCCACCUUUGCCUCCCUUCUUCGCUCAGGAGGCUUAGUCCUGGUCUCCCAAAUAUCUGACUGUCAUGACUAAAGACCCUUUGCUGUUUCUUCUGGGAGGUUUAAGGGUUCUUGAAAAAGAUGGAAGAAUCCUGGUAGCCUGUCCCAUUUCUCAGAGUUUCUGAAAUAAGCAUACAGAUUAAUAUCCUACAGUGACAUAUAAUUUAAAAAGUAAGCAGCAAAAUACUUUAAGGAGUUCCGCUUGUGGCUCAAUGGUUAACGAGUCUGACUGGCAUCCAUGAGGAUGCAGGUUUGAUCACUGGCCUUGCUAGUGGGUUAAGUAUCUGGCACUGCUGUGGCUGUGGUGUAGGCCAGCAGUUACAGCUCCGAUUCAACCCCUAGCCUGGGAACCUCCAUGUGCUGCGGGUGCAGCCCUAAAAAAAAAAAA
RNAcentral lists this long non-coding RNA (3972 nucleotides) under Sus scrofa (pig). RNAcentral describes it as "lncRNA (ENSSSCG00005016239.1)". The record is from RNAcentral. Lineage: Eukaryota; Metazoa; Chordata; Mammalia; Artiodactyla; Suidae.